CCUUCUUCUCUCUUCUGCAGAGCUGGGCAUCAGAGCACACUGAGCAGCAGGAUGAAAUGCCCACAGAGCUUCUGAGGCCAAGUCCUGUCUGACAGAUUUGGGAAGGUUCGAAUCUGUGCUGCUGCAUCCCUAUCCCCUGAAAUGAAACUUGACAGACGCAAUGAAACGCCGCAGGAGACAGUCAGCUUGCCAUCACCAGGAGUCUCCCAAUUUUGGUCAAGUGCAGAAAGAAACGCUGGAAAAAAGCCCAUGGGCUUUGGAGUCAGCUAGACCUGGGAUGCAGCACUUGCAUCUCCACCAUCAUUUCUGUGCCUUUGGAUUGGAUGCAUUUCCCUUGUCUGAGUCUUGGUUCUGUCAUCUCUAAUAUGGGAGAAACAGUGACAACCACAUGGGGCAGGUGGGACGAGGACAUGGGAGGUUUCCCAGGGCCCUGGCCUGGGGCUUGGUGUGUGGGAGAGAAGUUUC
Molecule: long non-coding RNA, 465 nt
Filed under: Homo sapiens (human)
Lineage: Eukaryota; Metazoa; Chordata; Mammalia; Primates; Hominidae
Description: HSALNT0235037
Source: RNAcentral